GCUAACGUAGCUUAACCAAAGCACAAUACUGAAGAUAUUAAGAUGGGCCCUAGAAAGCUCCGUAAGCA
RNAcentral lists this transfer RNA (68 nucleotides) under Chaunax abei. RNAcentral's name for it is "tRNA-Phe". The record is from RNAcentral. Lineage: Eukaryota; Metazoa; Chordata; Actinopteri; Lophiiformes; Chaunacidae.